UAACAACAAGAUUUAAAAAAAACAGUAGAAUACUAUUUUAAGUUUUAACAAAAAAAAAAAAAUAGAAGAGUCUAUUUAAUAAAAAAAAAAGAAAAAAAAAGAACAAUUUUAAAAUUAAAAAUAAAAAUAAUUAAAAAAAAAGGAGUUUAAUGAAGAGACUAGAGAGAUGCCAAUAGUCGACUCCGUAAAAAGACUCGUAAACGGGUAACUUCCACAGCAGUUGAUUGGUCCCAGGCCGCGCCUGGACCAGCAGCAUAUCCGGCCGGCGAGAUUUUGGAUCCCAUUAAAUUGGUAAUUUAAGCGGAAAGAAAAGGGUAUUUUUGUCAUUCUAUUUUCCCCGAAUUUUAUUCCACUAAAAAUGUUAGGGCCCAUUUUAUUCGGUCCGUGCAGAGUACGUCCUCCGAGGAGGUCGGACCCAUUAUCUUCUAACCAUUCAUCG
RNAcentral lists this long non-coding RNA (439 nucleotides) under Citrus sinensis (sweet orange). RNAcentral's name for it is "long non-coding RNA (CSIN_LNC004129)". Lineage: Eukaryota; Viridiplantae; Streptophyta; Magnoliopsida; Sapindales; Rutaceae. The record is from RNAcentral.